CCGUUCUGGGCUUCUGGCUGCAUUCUAGGAAGAUCAUUCCUUAAAAGAAAUAGCCAUAUGGCUUAUAAGGGACUAUAUCUUAAGACUAUGUGUCUUCUGCAGUUCUUUGCAUAGAGUCAACGUUGAAGGACAAGCAACUUCAAAUUUCCAAGCAACAAAAUUAUGUUCGGGUGGUUUUCUGAAAGCGAGAUCUUAAGAACCACCUGUAUCAGAAUCCCAUGAAGAGCUUGUUUAGUGUGCAAAUUUACAGAUUGUCCCCCCUCAGAAAUGCUCAUUUAGGAGUUCCUGUCCUUUGCGGGGACAUGGAUGAAGCUGGAAACCAUCAUUCUCAGCAAACUAACACAGGAACAGAAAACCAAACACUGCAUGUUCUCACUCAAAAGUGGGAGUUGAACAAUGAGAACACAUGGACACAGGGAGGGGAACGUCACACACCAGGGCCUGUCGGGGGUGGGAGGUGCUAAAAGGAUAAUACCAAGGAAAACUAUGGGUGGGGGCAGUGAAUGGCCAGCAUGCCUAUAAUCCCAGCACUUGAAGCCAGGAGUUCGAGACCAGCCUGGGAAACAAAGCAAGACCCUGUGUCUAAAAAAAUUUUUUUAAAAAUAAGCUGGGCAUGGUGGCACGUGCCUAUAGUCCCAGCUACUCAGCUACUCGGGAGACC
RNAcentral lists this long non-coding RNA (661 nucleotides) under Homo sapiens (human). RNAcentral describes it as "non-protein coding DARS-AS1:52". The record is from RNAcentral. Lineage: Eukaryota; Metazoa; Chordata; Mammalia; Primates; Hominidae.